GUCCACGCUGUAAACGAUGUCUGCUAGCCGUUGGGGUCCUUGAGGUCUCAGUGGCGCAGCUAACGCGAUAAGCAGACCGCCUGGGGAGUACGGCCGCAAGGUUAAAACUCAAAUGAAUUGACGGGGGCCCCGCACAAGCGGUGGAGCAUGUGGUUUAAUUCGAUGCAACGCGAAGAACCUUACCACCCCUUGACAUCCAGAGAACUGUUCAGAGAUGGACGGGUGCCUUCGGGAGCUCUGAGACAGGUGCUGCAUGGCUGUCGU
RNAcentral lists this ribosomal RNA (264 nucleotides) under uncultured bacterium. RNAcentral's name for it is "partial 16S ribosomal RNA". It matches the Rfam family "Bacterial small subunit ribosomal RNA", at positions 793 to 1055 of the family's 1533-position model. The record is from RNAcentral.